GGGUGCUUAGCUCAGCUGGGAGAGCAUCUGCCUUACAAGCAGAGGGUCGGCGGUUCGAUCCCGUCAUCACCCACCA
Molecule: transfer RNA, 76 nt
Filed under: Oleibacter sp. HI0075
Lineage: Bacteria; Pseudomonadati; Pseudomonadota; Gammaproteobacteria; Oceanospirillales; Oceanospirillaceae
Description: tRNA-Val
Rfam family: tRNA
About the family: Transfer RNA (tRNA) molecules are approximately 80 nucleotides in length.
Source: RNAcentral